GAUGAACGCUGGCGGCGUGCCUAAUACAUGCAAGUCGAGCGAACGGACGAGAAGCUUGCUUCUCUGAUGUUAGCGGCGGACGGGUGAGUAACACGUGGAUAACCUACCUAUAAGACUGGGAUAACUUCGGGAAACCGGAGCUAAUACCGGAUGAUAUUUUGAACCGCAUGGUUCAAAAGUGAAAGACGGUCUUGCUGUCACUUAUAGAUGGAUCCGCGCUGCAUUAGCUAGUUGGUAAGGUAACGGCUUACCAAGGCAACGAUGCAUAGCCGACCUGAGAGGGUGAUCGGCCACACUGGAACUGAGACACGGUCCAGACUCCUACGGGAGGCAGCAGUAGGGAAUCUUCCGCAAUGGGCUAAAGCCUGACGGAGCAACGCCGCGUGAGUGAUGAAGGUCUUCGGAUCGUAAAACUCUGUUAUUAGGGAAGAACAUAUGUGUAAGUAACUGUGCACAUCUUGACGGUACCUAAUCAGAAAGCCACGGCUAACUACGUG
This 497-nucleotide ribosomal RNA is filed under the name uncultured bacterium. RNAcentral describes it as "partial 16S ribosomal RNA". It matches the Rfam family "Bacterial small subunit ribosomal RNA", at positions 28 to 507 of the family's 1533-position model. The record is from RNAcentral.